GAUAUUUUCGCUCGGGAGGUCAAAAUCCCUAAAACAGGGUCGGGUCUUCCCCCAUCGAGCUGCUCCUCUCACCCCCACGACCAGCGCCGCCGCUUGCCCGCCCACCGCCCAGUUCUGAUCCGCUGACUCCCUCCCCAUCGAGCCGCCCACAUCGCCGUUGAGCACCGACUCCACGCCUCCAGCGCAGCUUCCCUCCCCAUCUAGCGCGGCAUCCAUCGCCGGCGACUUCCAGAUCCGCCUCCCUGGCCGGCGACUUCCAGAUCCUCCUCCGUCGCCGUGUAUAUGUAGCUCCCUCCCCAACCAGUGAGUGCCAGAUCCGCCUCCGUCGCCGUGUAUACGUAGCUCCCUCCCCGACCAGGUUCUUAUAUGAUCAUUCAUUCAGACCAAAAUCAUGUUGGUGAUGGUGCUACAAGGAAUCUAGUGCUUGUUGCAAAAACAAGAGAGAACGACAUAGGGACAUCACACUCCAAUGUCGUAGCAAGAUUUAUCGAGGAAAAAUGGUCAGUUGGGAAGGCCCUGCAACAAUGAUUCCCUUGCCGUCCAGCCACUCCAGCGCCACCUACCUCCCCGUCAACCGGCGCCUCCCUCACCGUCCAGCCACUCCAGCUCUGUCUCUCGGUUCACUGUCGCCUACCUCGCCGUCCAGCCACCCUCCAGCUCCGUCUCUCCAUCGACCGACGCCUCCCGUCCAGAUCUGCCUCCCUCGCCGGCCAGCUACCUCGUCCUCGUGUCUCCCUCCCAGUCCAGCGCCUCCUAGUCAAGGAGCAUCUUGCAAGUUCGCGCAAAUUUGCUUUAUCUUCAAAAGGACAAUAAUUGUUAAUCUUAAAUUAAUUGAGACAUAUUGUGAUUCGUUCAUGGUUACAGAAGAAGUACUACAAAGCUUUUCAAGAUGCAUAUCCAGUAGAUUAGAAGGAACUGAGAUUAUGUACUCUGCUGGUGAUGCUAUAAAGAAGCUGGGACGGCUGGAUGGGAAAUACCCGAAGACCUUUGAGCCUUUCAAGAUCAGCUGAUGGAUGGUAGUGAUCUGCUUAUGAGAAGAAGUCGUUGUAGGUACUUGGGGCCACGGUUGACUCUUGGGUGGGCGAAGGCCCUCAAGCACCUCCACUUGAACUUCUGAUGAAUGGAAUCUUCCAAGCCCAAGGGAAUGCUGGUACUCCAUUGACAAAAUCUUCCCAUGAUGAAGACCAUCCUCAUGCUACUCAUGCGGAUGAGCACAGUUCUACUCCAACACAGGUGCCAGCAGACCUCCUGGUUUUCGGGGAGGUCGUUGACGGCGGGGCCCGCGGCGCGUGGAGGAGGAGGAGGCCGGACACUACCCCAAGUUGACUUUUUCCUGACGGCCAUAUUCCGUCAGGAAUGAACUGUUUUCGUCAGGAAUGAUCCCCUCCCAUCAGGAAUUUCCCGCCAGCAACAGCUUGUCAGGAAAGACAGUAUUUCCUGAUGGUGCCCGUCAGGAAUGUUGUUCCUGACUGUGUUUCCUGAUGGGAGUCCUGAGAUGCCCAUAUUCAAAUUCCUGACGGCCAUACCGUCAGGAAGUGCCAUCAGGAAAUUGGCUGUCACGAAUAUCUUCUGCUCCUGACAGCUAGUGGCACUCAGGACCAUACCUUCAAGAAUGAGGUCAACAUAUCCAUGGCGGCUGGCUUCGUCAGGAAAGUAUAUAUAUAUAUAUUUAUAUAUUCAGCCACCUGUCAAAUCAUCUCACAUUCAUGCGUACGCAAAGGUCACACAACCCUGUUUAAAAUAAAAUCCAAUUCCUAGGUCACAAUGUACCCAUACAAGUUAUUCAAAUCUCAUUGUUCGCAAGAUCCACACAUUUAUAUCCAAGUCAUUAUUCAUGGCAGCUCAACUUAACAGGAGGUGUCACCAAGUCCAAAACACGCACACUAGUUGAUUCCUAAAUUGCCAGGAGAAGCAAUUGAGAAAGAAAGCCUACCUAGUUCAUAAUAUUAACCACUAAUUAUGCUACCGGAAUUCCUAAUUGAUUGUUCUGUGUUGGAGUAGAACUGUGCUCAUCGGCAUGAGUAGCAUGAGGAUGGUCUUCAUCAUGGGAAGAUUUUGUCAAUGGAGUACCAGCAUUCCCUUGGGCUUGGAAGGUUCCAUUCAUCUAUACAAUAGAAAAAUCUAUUUCAAUGAGCAAUGGUGAAAGGCAAAACUAUGAUAUAUACAAGUUUUCAAACCAAAAGGUAAACUCCAGAUCAUGACACACUUGUUGCUAGGCACCAAGCAAGUGAAGAAGACUUUUCUUAUUGCCCAACACAGGCUGCAAUAAUGAAAAUGUAACAGGAACAUAAUGAAAAGAAAUUAACGAAGUAUGCCAAGUACUAAACUGCAUGUUCAGAACUAGCACUACAUGUAGAAAACUAGCAGUAAGCGGGCAUAUUUAUAGAUUUCCAAUGCAAGUUCCAAACAUCAGCGGUUUAACAUCACUACAAGAACUUGAUGUAUUCCAAGUAAGCACGGAACAUGGGCAUGAGCUAAAACAGUUGGGGAGCCUAAACAAGCUGCAAGGCAAUCUGAAAAUUCAUCAUCUUGAAAAUGUGAAAAACAAGAAAGAAGCGAAUGAUGCAAAGUUGGCUGAUAAGAAAGACUAAUAUGACUGGAACUGUCCUGGGGUGGUUCCUUAUGGACUUGCUCACCAGAAGUUCAAGUGGAGGUGCUCGAGGGCCUUCGCCCACCCAAGGGUCAACGGUGGCCCCAAGUACCUACAACGACUUCUUCUCAUAUGCAUUCGUGAAGGAAAUUAGAAUAACUGGAGACAUACUCAUAAAUGCAAGUUUAGAGGUAUAUACAUCUAUGAAUUCUAUCAAUGCAGCAUGUUUUUAAGGGAACAACUAUGCAACAUGUUAUGCCUGCUUGCCGAUGAA
Molecule: long non-coding RNA, 2864 nt
Organism: Triticum aestivum (bread wheat)
Lineage: Eukaryota; Viridiplantae; Streptophyta; Magnoliopsida; Poales; Poaceae
Exons: 5
Source: RefSeq, a predicted model, not a curated record